GUGAGACAGUUCGGUCCAUAUCCGGUAUGCGCGCAAGAGAAUUGAUCGGAGUCUUCCUUAGUACGAGAGGACCGGGAAGAGGGAACCUCCAGUGUACGGGUUAUCGCGCCAGCGGUAAACGCCCGGUAGCUGUGUUCCAAGCGGAUAAGUGCUGAAAGCAUAUAAGUACGAAGCCCACCGAAAGAUGAGUUCUCUCACAGAGUAAUCUGGUAAGUCCCCAUGCAGAUCACGUGGUUGAUAGGAUGCAGAUAGAAGUAUGGCAACAUAUGUAGUCGAGCAUUACUAAUAGUACGAGGGCUUUUCCUA
This 306-nucleotide ribosomal RNA is filed under the name Candidatus Spyradomonas excrementavium. RNAcentral's name for it is "partial 23S ribosomal RNA". It matches the Rfam family "Bacterial large subunit ribosomal RNA", at positions 2621 to 2925 of the family's 2925-position model. Lineage: Bacteria; Bacillati; Candidatus Melainabacteria; Candidatus Gastranaerophilales; Candidatus Gastranaerophilaceae. The record is from RNAcentral.